AAAAACAUGUCUUUUUGGUAAUAAUUUAAAGUCUAAUCUGCCCACUGAUUUAAAUUAAAGGGCUGCAGUAUAUUGACUGUACAAAGGUAGCAUAAUCAUUAGUUUUUUAAUUGAAAACUUGUAUGAAGGAUUUGAUGAAAUAUAAACUGUCUCUUAUUUAAAAUUAAAAAUUUAUUUUUUAGUUAAAAAGCUAAAAUAAUUUUAAAAGACGAGAAGACCCUAUAGAGUUUUAUAUUAAAUUAUUUUAUAAUUAUUUAUAUAAUUAAAAAUUAAAAAUGAAUUUAAUAUUUUAUUGGGGUGAUAGAAAAAUUAAAAAAACUUUUUUUAAAUUAUUAACAUAGAUAUAUGAAUAAAUGAUCCAUAAUUAAUGAUUAUAAGAAAAAAUUACCUUAGGGAUAACAGCGUAAUAUUUUUUUUUAGUUCAUAUAAAAAAAAAAGUUUGCGACCUCGAUGUUGGAUUAAGAUAAAAUUUAAAUGCAAAAGUUUAAAAGUUUUGAUCUGUUCGAUCAUUAAAAUCUUACAUGAUCUGAG
Molecule: ribosomal RNA, 531 nt
Filed under: Melanitis leda
Lineage: Eukaryota; Metazoa; Arthropoda; Insecta; Lepidoptera; Nymphalidae
Description: partial 16S ribosomal RNA
Rfam family: Archaeal large subunit ribosomal RNA (bases 395-531)
Source: RNAcentral